ACCUUCUCUAAGGUCUGUACUAAAAUUUCAGAAACUAGUAUCAUGUCUUGGUAUUUGAAAUAAAGCUAGCAGAGUAAGCACAAGAAUCAAAAAAUAACUGAACAGCUGUAACAGAAGAAAAACUGAGAUAGACCUCUUCUAAGACACCCAAAUUCCCACCUUCUAAGAGUUGGUAUAAUAAUA
Small nucleolar RNA from Urocitellus parryii (Arctic ground squirrel), 183 nucleotides. The record is from Ensembl. NCBI's taxonomy places the organism in Eukaryota, Metazoa, Chordata, Mammalia, Rodentia, Sciuridae.